CCCUCCCCUAAAUCACUCCAAAAAAAACAAUCCCCAAUUCUACACAAGUGUUUCUACACUAACAAAGCAACAGCUCCUUAACGAAUUCCCAACUUUACACGAGCUCGUCUCUCGAGGUUAAAUGUUAUUACUUGGUAAGAUUCCGGACCUCGCCAAGUGUUUUGAAAACCCGCAACGCUCGCAAAGGUGCAUAGUGAGAAUAAUAAGUGAAGAGACAGACUUGUCCAAAACGCCCACCACGAAGGUGCAUAGUGAGAAGAGUAAGUCAAGAGAUAGACUUGUCCAAAAAGAAACGGAAGAGAAAGCUUGGGGAGACGCUCACGAAGGUGCAUAGUGAGAAGAGUAAGUCAAGAGAUAGACUUGUUCAAAAAGAAACAGAAGAGAAUGCUUGGGGUUACACUCACGAAGGUGCAUAGUGAGAAGAGUAAGUCAAGAGACAGACUUGUUCAAAAAGAAACGAAAGAGAAUGCUUGGGGAGAUAGAAGUGUGAGAUAGUUCUCAAGCUAAGAAAGUUGUAAAAGCUAAGAACUAGCAAGUAAUCGUCCAGGAUUCCUCCACCAGGACUUGAAAUCGUCGAGGGAAAAAAAUCGGUUCCGAGGAAUCGUCGAUCCGGACUUGGAAUCGUCGAGAAAAGUUUACCGGGUCCGAGGAUUUGUCGACCAGGAGUGGAAAUCGUCGAGAAAAAUCUAUCGGGUCCGAGGAAUCGUCGACCAGGACGAGGAAUCGUCGACCGGGUCCGAGGAUUUGUCGACCAGGGGUUGAAAUCGUCGACCAGGUCCGAGACUUCAUCGACCGGGUCCGAGGAUUCGUCGAC
This 814-nucleotide unclassified non-coding RNA is filed under the name Arabidopsis thaliana (thale cress). Its description in RNAcentral is "3' external transcribed spacer". Lineage: Eukaryota; Viridiplantae; Streptophyta; Magnoliopsida; Brassicales; Brassicaceae. The record is from RNAcentral.